RNAcentral lists this small RNA (393 nucleotides) under uncultured Glomus. RNAcentral describes it as "SSU rRNA". It matches the Rfam family "Eukaryotic small subunit ribosomal RNA", at positions 569 to 967 of the family's 1831-position model. Lineage: Eukaryota; Fungi; Glomeromycota; Glomeromycetes; Glomerales; Glomeraceae. The record is from RNAcentral.
AGCAGCCGCGGUAAUUCCAGCUCCAAUGGCGUAUAUUAAAGUUGUUGCAGUUAAAAAGCUCGUAGUUGAAUUUCGGGGUUAGUAGGUUGGUCAUGCCUCUGGUAUGUACUGGUCUCACUGAUUCCUCCUUCCUGAUGAACCGUAAUGCCAUUAAUUUGGUGUUGCGGGGAAUUUGGACUGUUACUUUGAAAAAUUAGAGUGUUUAAAGCAAGCUAACGCUUGAAUACAUUAGCAUGGAAUAAUGAAAUAGGACGUUCGAUCCUAUUUUGUUGGUUUCUAGGAUUGACGUAAUGAUUAAUAGGGAUAGUUGGGGGCAUUAGUAUUCAAUUGUCAGAGGUGAAAUUCUUGGAUUUAUGAAGACUAACUACUGCGAAAGCAAUUUGCCAAGGAUGU